RNAcentral lists this long non-coding RNA (479 nucleotides) under Pongo abelii (Sumatran orangutan). Its description in RNAcentral is "lincRNA". The record is from RNAcentral. Lineage: Eukaryota; Metazoa; Chordata; Mammalia; Primates; Hominidae.
GAGAGGAAAAUGAUAGAAAACGUUCUGUCUUUGAAGCACUCCAGCCAUUUGUUCCCACUGAGCUUGGCUCUGGCUUGUGGAUAGAUUCCACGGGUGGAAUGCUGGCAUGUUCUUGGAGCAUGAGGCAGACUUGGGAACUGAGUCAACACACGGCAUAUCACUGAGACAGAGCAGUCCCAGAACACACACCGGGGAGUACAGGAGCCUAGGCCACGUACCCAACAUCAUAGGCAGAGAAAAAAGAAACUGUAUUCCACGUGGUGCAUUCCAGGCCUUAGAAUAAAAUUAAAAGGGAAACCUAUGAAGACAAAUCCGCUCUUCACACUCUCAUCUUCAAUGUUUGAUCAGUGGUUGAACUGUUUGGAGUUGCAGAUCGAUAUUUCUGUUUUAUAGUUUUAGGUGCUUGUAAUUGCUCUUUAAUUCUCAUGUUUCCUCUUAUUCUGUGUGUCUUUAACUCAUAAAGACAGUUUUCCAUGAGA